UAGUUGAAUUUUUAAUUUAAAAAAAUCCCGAAGUUUAUAUGUUUUAAUUGCUUAAUAAAAAUGUUAAUAUAUACUUAAUUUCAUUGAAAUACAUUUUACAUAUAAUACUGCGCAAAUUUAAGGUUCAUCUGAUACAUUUAUAUAUUGUAAUAUGACUGUAGUGAUAGUUAUCACCUCUAUUGUGUCAUAUAUUUAUCAUUUCUUUGCUGUGGUGUGAAUAAUCAAGAUCUUGCCCUAACUUGGCAAGUAUGAUGAUUAUAAUACAAUGUUGUUGUCUACUAUACAUUAGAUCUUGAUGAUUAUAAUACCACAUUGUUGUUAUACUAUACAUUAGAUCUUCAGGACUUAUUUAUUAUUUGUAAGUUUUUACCCUUAAAAGACAUGUCUCCUAUUUCCCAACCCUCAGCCCCUGGUAAUCACUAUUUAAAUUUAAAAUAAUGUGAAUAGGCAAAUAUUUUGCAACCCAGAGGGUGACUGAGGGUCUUGUGCUGGGUCAGCUCUGUUUUGAUUCACACUAAAACUGAUAUCAUUGGCCAUUCAGUAUUCACCCAGAAAACCCCAAUCACCCCAAACAAACCAUGAAUUUUGUGGUUUCCUUGAAGAUUUUCAGGGCAAAAAGUUUUGUUAUCACCUAAUAUAUAACACGUCUAAUUGGAGGAGAAAACUCUCCAUUAGUGAUGUCACUUUACAAGGUCUUUCACUAGGUCCUUGGCAUCCAAAUGAGCCUUCUGUUCUGCUGCUUUCCUAUCACCUUGGACCUGGGCUCAGCCAAGCAUGUUUGAACAAAGCAAGUCUUCAGCUUACAAGGAAAUUUUCCUAACAGUGGCCAAGAAAGUGAAAUUUUUCUCCGUAUGAUUUACAGUCUUUAAGAACAAACCAGCAUUCUUCUCUGUUUCUCUCUUUUGUCUACUCAAUCCCCAUCCCUACUGGCGUGACAUUUAUUUUUCCAGACGUUUUAAAUAAAUGUAUUAUUUUACUUUCUGGCAUGUUGUACAGAAUCUCCCUUUUUAUUCAUUUGCUGUAACAUAGGGAGGGCAGGAUGGAGGCAAAAUCUACCCAUGUGCCUCCUGAAACUCUUGAACCCUGAUUGCCUAACCCCAUUGCUUGUCUUGGAUAUGUUCCUUCUAAGUUCAGCCUGUUCUCUGCUCUCUUUUUUUCAAACUACGUUCCCAUCUCACAUAAUGGGACAAUUGAACUCAAGCUUUCUAGGACAGUCUAGAUUGAGGACUGUCUGGGGAGGAUGCAGAAGUGAAGGACAGGAGAUUCCUAGCUUUAUGGAGGCUUUGGUCCUCCAGCCUUUGAAGGGACACAGCACAUUACUGUCUAUGCAGGGCCAAACUGUACAAGAUCUAAAAUGACUCCAAGGGUGGAAAAAUAUUACAAAAAUGGACCAC
RNAcentral lists this long non-coding RNA (1394 nucleotides) under Canis lupus familiaris (dog). Its description in RNAcentral is "lncRNA (ENSCAFG00845001877.1)". The record is from RNAcentral. Lineage: Eukaryota; Metazoa; Chordata; Mammalia; Carnivora; Canidae.